Molecule: long non-coding RNA, 961 nt
Organism: Thunnus maccoyii (southern bluefin tuna)
Lineage: Eukaryota; Metazoa; Chordata; Actinopteri; Scombriformes; Scombridae
Exons: 4
Source: RefSeq, a predicted model, not a curated record
CAACCGGUGAAUAAAUUCAGACAGACAGAACCGAUCAUUAAUCUUCACGAAACUUUAGUAUAACAGCUGAAAAUCGAUCAUUGAUCAGGACAGUUGGUGACACUAAGCUCUUUGACUACAACAAAACUCCUCAGAGAUCAGAGGACACCAGCACAACUACACUGACACAAGUAUUCACUGCCUGGAAGGAUGAGGUGUUGAAGAUUUUAAAGUCAGCAGUUUGUCUUCAACUGAAUCAGCCAGUCAGAACUCUUCAUUGCAUCUGCAACACGUGUUGAAACCCAGCCCAGUUGGUCUCCAGUUGAAUCAGUGUUGAUGUUUCCAGCAGAGUGAUAUUAUGGCGUCUGCAGGUGAGUCCAGUCAGACUUUAUUAGUCUGGAUAUCUCUCCUCUCUCUCUGUCCACAUAUUACACACAUAAUAACAUCACUUUGUCCUCAGACUGUGAACCUGAAUUCAAUUCAGCUGAUUCAUCAACAGCUCUGAUUUUCCUGUUUGUACAAACACAAACAGUCACAGAACAGUUUUCCUCAGAUGGUUUAUUUGCUUGUUUGUUUUGCACUUUUAUCUGUUUGGUCAAUUCCUGACUUCAGUGCAAUAUUGUUUUGUUUGUCAUAAAAUUGCAUUUAAGACAAACUGAAAUUCAAACAUAAAGACAUUUUCAUGUGACUUCAUGUUUUGUCAUUUCCUGAAGAUUAACAUGUGCAUCAAAAUACAACUUUUAAUGGGUCUGUACAGUCAGAGAACAGCGGAGUCUUAUCAAUAAUGUCAUUAACAUGACUGAGUUUGGCAAAAAAAGUCUAUACUGUAUUUUAACUGUAUUUUGAUGUUGCAUGUGCCAAUAAUUUCUACACAGUAUUUUGAACUUUUAAACAUUUAAACUGAUGUCCUGUGAGUUGUUUGUGGCAUGAAAACAGAAUGUCAAGUAAUAUAUUUUAUUUCACUCUAAAACUUUAAAUCAAC